UACGUAGGGGGCAAGCGUUGUCCGGAAUGACUGGGCGUAAAGGGCGUGUAGGCGGCCGAUUAAGUCUGGAGUGAAAGUCCUGCUUUCAAGGUGGGAAUUGCUUUGGAGACUGGUUGGCUUGAGUGCGGAAGAGGCAAGUGGAAUUCCCAGUGUAGCGGUGAAAUGCGUAGAGAUUGGGAGGAACACCAGUGGCGAAGGCGACUUGCUGGGCCGUAACUGACGCUGAGGCGCGAAAGCGUGGGGAGCGAACAGGAUUAGAUACCCUGGUAGUCCACGCUGUAAACGAUGAAUGCUAGGUGUAGGGGGUAUCGACCCCUCCUGUGCCGCAGUUAACACAAUAAGCAUUCCGCCUGGGGAGUACGGCCGCAAGGUUGAA
Molecule: ribosomal RNA, 376 nt
Filed under: uncultured bacterium
Lineage: Bacteria
Description: bacterial SSU rRNA
Rfam family: Bacterial small subunit ribosomal RNA
Source: RNAcentral